Actinia tenebrosa (Australian red waratah sea anemone) is the source of this 991-nucleotide long non-coding RNA. RefSeq lists it as uncharacterized. NCBI's taxonomy places the organism in Eukaryota, Metazoa, Cnidaria, Anthozoa, Actiniaria, Actiniidae. The record is from RefSeq and is a predicted model, not a curated record.
GCGGCUUUGAGGAUAGCCAAGUGAGCAGAAACGACACGUGACUGGUGGCCACCGUUGCUAUGGAGAUCUCUUAACAUCUGGUCUAGUGCAUCCGGGACAUUCUUAAGGACACAAGGCAGCCAAUACUGGCGAGUGUGUUGGGCAAGCAAGCUACCAUGCAUGCGUAUAUGAAAAAAGAAAUUGGUUUGGAUCAAUAUUCCCGCCCUUAAUUGUAAAAAGGUGUUUCUAGUUUCUGUAACAAAGUUCUUUCUUACUGGACAGAGUUGUUAGCCCUGCGCCAAACCCACAAUUUGGAGGACCAAUGGAUACCUUACGCGCAUCCUGGAGCAGAUAGCAUGAAGUAAAGUUAAGAAGUUAAGUAUAUAAGGCAAAGUUUUAAAGGCCUCUGUGGAAGCAGAAGAGAGCUGGUUCGACUUCAAGCAGUAUGCCAUUUCUUCAAGUAAAGAUGGUCUCUUGUUGAAUACCUACGAAGUAAUCAUUGAUAAGAAGAUGCCAAUUUUAUCUGGAAUGCAACUGCCUUAUUUAAGAGAGGGACUUUGCGCCGUUAUAGUGGGUAACGUACUCUACCAUACCUGUUCCAGCGUGACGUGAGGAAGGAGUUCACAGAUCAGUCCAUAUCUUGUCUUUACUUGCCAUGGCACUGCAAGAACUUUGUCUACAAUAGACUCAUAAAACUGUGCUCUCUACGAAUAAAAAAGUGUGAAUUCGUAAAUCAUUCAUUUAACUGAAACAAGAGGUUGUGGAACUUGGCUCGACACGAGCGUCAGAAUUUUACCCCUGGAUUCCCGAGGGUGGAGUCCCAGAGGCUCUCAAUCCAGAGCUAUUUGGUCGUAAGUUCUUUUAUCGCAAGAGAAAUUGUCUUACACUAUACGAUCUCACUCGAUACUUAAAUCACUUACAAACGUUUCCUCGUCUUUAAGGAUGUAAUGUUCUCCAUCGUGUACGUCGAGGAAUAAUCCAAAUAUGCCUCUCCCUGCUAUAGAUACUCCCU